CCUACGGGUGGCAGCAGUGGGGAAUCUUGCACAAUGGAGGAAACUCUGAUGCAGCGACGCCGCGUGAGUGAAGAAGGAUCUCGGUAUGUAAAGCUCUAUCAGCAGGGAAGAAAAUGACGGUACCUGACUAAGAAGCACCGGCUAACUACGUGCCAGCAGCCGAGGUAAUACGUAGGGGGCAAGCGUUAUCCGGAUGUACUGGGGGUAAAGGGAGCGUAGACGGCGCAGCAAGUCCGGAGUGAAAGCCCAUGGCUUAACCAGGGUAUUGCUCUGGAAACUGUGGAGCUUGAGUGUGGGAGGGGCAGGCGGAAUUCCGAGUGUAGCGGUGAAAUGCGUAGAUAUUAGGAGGAACACCGGUGGCGAAGGCGGCCUGCUGGACCGUAACUGACGUUGAGGCUCGAAAGCGUGGGGAGCAAACAGGAUUAGAUACCCGAGUAGUC
This 440-nucleotide ribosomal RNA is filed under the name uncultured bacterium. RNAcentral's name for it is "partial 16S ribosomal RNA". It matches the Rfam family "Bacterial small subunit ribosomal RNA", at positions 338 to 795 of the family's 1533-position model. The record is from RNAcentral.